UACGUAGGGGGCAAGCGUUGUCCGGAAUCAUUGGGCGUAAAGAGCGCGUAGGCGGCCCGGUAAGUCCGUUGUAAAAGUCAAAGGCUCAACCUUUGAAUGCCGAUGGAUACUGCCGGGCUAGAGUCCGGAAGAGGCGAGUGGAAUUCCUGGUGUAGCGGUGGAAUGCGCAGAUAUCAGGAGGAACACCGAUAGCGAAGGCAGCUCGCUGGGACGGUACUGACGCUAAGGCGCGAAAGCGUGGGGAGCGAACAGG
RNAcentral lists this ribosomal RNA (253 nucleotides) under uncultured bacterium. RNAcentral describes it as "partial 16S ribosomal RNA". It matches the Rfam family "Bacterial small subunit ribosomal RNA", at positions 524 to 776 of the family's 1533-position model. The record is from RNAcentral.